This 71-nucleotide transfer RNA is filed under the name Atrocalopteryx atrata. RNAcentral's name for it is "tRNA-Ser". The record is from RNAcentral. Lineage: Eukaryota; Metazoa; Arthropoda; Insecta; Odonata; Calopterygidae.
GGGGGAAAGUAGAACACGAUAAUAAGCCGCUAACUUAAUUAUCUAGCGGUUAAAAUCCGUUAUUACCCCUA